Molecule: ribosomal RNA, 938 nt
Filed under: Cerioporus sp. GXU 2081
Lineage: Eukaryota; Fungi; Basidiomycota; Agaricomycetes; Polyporales; Polyporaceae
Description: eukaryotic LSU rRNA
Rfam family: Eukaryotic large subunit ribosomal RNA
Source: RNAcentral
AUAUCAAUAAGCGGAGGAAAAGAAACUAACAAGGGAUUCCCCUAGUAACUGCGAGUGAAGCGGGAAAAGCUCAAAUUUAAAAUCUGACGGUCUUUGGCUGUCCGAGUUGUAGUCUGGAGAAGUGUUUUCCGUGCUGGACCGUGUAUAAGUCUCUUGGAAUAGAGCGUCAUAGAGGGUGAGAAUCCCGUCUUUGACACGGACUACCAGUGCUUUGUGAUGCACUUUCAAAGAGUCGAGUUGUUUGGGAAUGCAGCUCAAAAUGGGUGGUAAAUUCCAUCUAAAGCUAAAUAUUGGCGAGAGACCGAUAGCGAACAAGUACCGUGAGGGAAAGAUGAAAAGCACUUUGGAAAGAGAGUUAAACAGUACGUGAAAUUGCUGAAAGGGAAACGCUUGAAGUCAGUCGCGUUGUUUGGAACUCAGCCUUGCAAUUUGCUUGGUGCACUUUCUGAAUGACGGGCCAGCAUCAAUUUUGACCGUUGGAAAAGGGCGGGAGGAAUGUGGCACCUUCGGGUGUGUUAUAGCCUCUUUGUCGCAUGCAUCGGUUGGGAUUGAGGACCGCAGCGCGCCGCAAGGCAGAAGGGUAAACCUACUUUCGCGCUUAGGAUGCUGGCAUAAUGGCUUUAAGCGACCCGUCUUGAAACACGGACCAAGGAGUCUAACAUGCCUGCGAGUGUUUGGGUGGAAAACCCGAGCGCGUAAUGAAAGUGAAAGUUGAGACCUCUGUUGUGGAGGGCAUCGACGCCCGGACCUGACGUUCUCUGACGGAUCCGCGGUGGAGCAUGUAUGUUGGGACCCGAAAGAUGGUGAACUAUGCCUGAAUAGGGUGAAGCCAGAGGAAACUCUGGUGGAGGCUCGUAGCGAUUCUGACGUGCAAAUCGAUCGUCAAAUUUGGGUAUAGGGGCGAAAGACUAAUCGAACCAUCUAGUAGCUGGUUCUGC